Molecule: ribosomal RNA, 770 nt
Filed under: uncultured fungus
Lineage: Eukaryota; Fungi
Description: eukaryotic LSU rRNA
Rfam family: Eukaryotic large subunit ribosomal RNA
Source: RNAcentral
GAACUUAAGCAUAUCAAUAAGCGGAGGAAAAGAAACCAACAGGGAUUGCCUCAGUAACGGCGAGUGAAGCGGCAACAGCUCAAAUUUGAAAUCUGGCCUCACGGUCCGAGUUGUAAUUUGUAGAGGAUGUUUCGAGUGUGGUCCGGUCUAAGUUCCUUGGAACAGGACGUCAUAGAGGGUGAGAAUCCCGUAUGCGACUGGGUGCCUAAUCUCAUGUGAAACUCCUUCGACGAGUCGAGUUGUUUGGGGAUGCAGCUCAAAAUGGGUGGUAAAUUUCAUCUAAAGCUAAAUACUGGCCAGAGACCGAUAGCGCACAAGUAGAGUGAUCGAAAGAUGAAAAGCACUUUGGAAAGAGAGUUAAACAGUACGUGAAAUUGUUGAAAGGGAAGCGCUUGCAACCAGACUUGCACGCAGUCGAUCAUCCGAUGUUUUCACCGGUGCACUCGAUUGUGUUCAGGCCAGCAUCGGUUUUGGUGGUGGGAUAAAGGCCUUGGGAAUGUAGCUUCUUUCGGGGAGUGUUAUAGCCCUCGGUGCAAUGCCGCCUACUGGGACCGAGGACCGCGCUUCGGCUAGGAUGCUGGCGUAAUGGUUGUAAGCGACCCGUCUUGAAACACGGACCAAGGAGUCUAACAUCUAUGCGAGUGUUUGGGUGUCAAACCCAUACGCGUAAUGAAAGUGAACGGAGGUGAGAACCCUUAAGGGUGCAUCAUCGACCGAUCCUGAUGUCUUCGGAUGGAUUUGAGUAAGAGCAUAGCUGUUGGGACCCGAAA